RNAcentral lists this ribosomal RNA (499 nucleotides) under uncultured bacterium. Its description in RNAcentral is "bacterial SSU rRNA". It matches the Rfam family "Bacterial small subunit ribosomal RNA", at positions 29 to 504 of the family's 1533-position model. The record is from RNAcentral.
AUUAAACGCUGGCGGCAUGCCUUACACAUGCAAGUCGAACGGCAGCACGGGGGGAACCCUGGUGGCGAGUGGCGAACGGGUGAGUAAAGCAUCGGAACGUGCCCUGGAGUGGGGGAUAACGUAGCGAAAGUUACGCUAAUACCGCAUAUUCUGUGAGCAGGAAAGCAGGGGAUCGCAAGACCUUGCGCUCUGGGAGCGGCCGAUGUCGGAUUAGCUAGUUGGUGGGGUAAAGGCCUACCAAGGCGACGAUCCGUAGCGGGUCUGAGAGGAUGAUCCGCCACACUGGGACUGAGACACGGCCCAGACUCCUACGGGAGGCAGCAGUGGGGAAUUUUGGACAAUGGGCGAAAGCCUGAUCCAGCCAUGCCGCGUGAGUGAAGAAGGCCUUCGGGUUGGUUAAGACGUCUUUCGGUUGGGGUAAGGGUAAAAGUUAAGUCGAAUGGGCGUAAUACCUACGUGUAGAUGACGGUACCGUCGGUAGGAAGGAAAGGACGACCGG